GUGCCAGCCGCCGCGGUAAUACGUAGGGUGCGAGCGUUAAUCGGAAUUACUGGGCGUAAAGCGUGCGCAGGCGGCUCGCCAAGUCAGAUGUGAAAGCCCCGGGCUUAACCUGGGAAUUGCGUUUGAAACUGGCGGGCUGGAGUGUGGCAGAGGGAGGUGGAAUUCCACGUGUAGCAGUGAAAUGCGUAGAGAUGUGGAGGAACACCGAUGGCGAAGGCAGCCUCCUGGGCCAACACUGACGCUCAUGCACGAAAGCGUGGGGAGCAAACAGGAUUAGAAACCCGUGUAGUCC
RNAcentral lists this ribosomal RNA (292 nucleotides) under uncultured bacterium. RNAcentral describes it as "partial 16S ribosomal RNA". It matches the Rfam family "Bacterial small subunit ribosomal RNA", at positions 505 to 796 of the family's 1533-position model. The record is from RNAcentral.